Molecule: long non-coding RNA, 920 nt
Organism: Corvus hawaiiensis (hawaiian crow)
Lineage: Eukaryota; Metazoa; Chordata; Aves; Passeriformes; Corvidae
Exons: 2
Source: RefSeq, a predicted model, not a curated record
UAUUGCUUUCCUACAUGUAAUGAAAAAAGUAAGCCAAAAGCAGAGUCUUAGCAGUAGACGAAGACCUUCUUUCUUUAUUCUGGAUAGUCUGGAAAACAAAUCCCAGGCUGAAGUGCAGACUUGCACGAUCAGUGCCUCACUAACUGCAGCCCUACAGCUUCAGGAGACUCAUUGCUGCUGAUAAAUCAUUUCUAACUGACUCAUAUUCCAUCCAGACACACCAUGGUUGUACUCUAGAAGCCCACUCUGUAGUACAUGUAGUGGUGGUGGAAGCUCCUUGCCUGUGGUGGCUUAAAAUAUUUGGAGGGGAUUUUGUGGAAAAGGGAGAAGAUGAUGUACACACAUUUUCUCAAAGACAAUGCUGAGUGAUGUUUCCAUCUGCUCUUCUCCCGGACAGGACUUCAAUGAAGAUCCAACGGACUGCUGGGAGCAGCAGUUUCUCUUAAGGUACUUCCUUUCCUUGCAGAUGCCUGCCUAGAUUCCUACUUAUAAUGGAGAACUGGAAGAAGAGAGGCUGUGCAGUGCAUGUGACAGAAAAGAAAGCACUGGAUAAAAGGCGCUUACUGUUCCAGUAUGAAUAGUACAAGACAGUGUUAGGAAGAUAUUUGCUUAGAUUACUAGAAAUGAUAAAAGACUUUCCAUUAAAAAACGAUGAGGAAAAACUGUGCAUACCCUAGGAGAAAGGAAAGAAACGGCAGGGAUAGCAUCAUGCUAUGUAGCAACCUGCCACCAGCUUAGAAAUGGACAAUAAUGACAAAUGGACACAGGGGAUAAAACCCCAAACACACUGUGAAGAGUUAUCUUGGGCAGAUGCACAAUGUGUUGUAUCUAUUGCUGACAGUUACCCAAGGUUUCUGCUUUUUCUACACAUUGACAGUGUUUGCAUUGUAUGGCAUGCCAAUAAAAUAUUUUGAUUUGAA